AUUGACUAAGGUUUCCAGAGGAAGGCUCGUCCGCUCUGGGUUAGUCGGGUCCUAAGCUGAGGCCGACAGGCGUAGGCGAUGGAUAACAGGUUGAUAUUCCUGUACCACCUAUAAUCGUUUUAAUCGAUGGGGGGACGCAGUAGGAUAGGCGAAGCGUGCGAUUGGAUUGCACGUCUAAGCAGUAAGGCUGAGUAUUAGGCAAAUCCGGUACUCGUUAAGGCUGAGCUGUGAUGGGGAGAAGACAUUGUGUCUUCGAGUCGUUGAUUUCACACUGCCGAGAAAAGCCUCUAGAUAGAAAAUAGGUGCCCGUACCGCAAACCGACACAGGUAGUCAAGAUGAGAAUUCUAAGGUGAGCGAGCGAACUCUCGUUAAGGAACUCGGCAAAAUGACCCCGUAACUUCGGGAGAAGGGGUGCUCUUUAGGGUUAACGCCCAGAAGAGCCGCAGUGAAUAGGCCCAAGCGACUGUUUAUCAAAAACACAGGUCUCUGCUAAACCGUAAGGUGAUGUAUAGGGGCUGACGCCUGCCCGGUGCUGGAAGGUUAAGAGGAGUGGUUAGCUUCUGCGAAGCUACGAAUCGAAGCCCCAGUAAACGGCGGCCGUAACUAUAACGGUCCUAAGGUAGCGAAAUUCCUUGUCGGGUAAGUUCCGACCCGCACGAAAGGCGUAACGAUUUGGGCACUGUCUCAACGAGAGACUCGGUGAAAUCAUAGUACCUGUGAAGAUGCAGGUUACCCGCGAC
Molecule: ribosomal RNA, 741 nt
Filed under: Staphylococcus aureus
Lineage: Bacteria; Bacillati; Bacillota; Bacilli; Caryophanales; Staphylococcaceae
Description: partial 23S ribosomal RNA
Rfam family: Bacterial large subunit ribosomal RNA
Source: RNAcentral